ACCUUAUUUAGUUUCAUUACUUGUUACCCAUUACAAAUUACCUUAUCACAAAACCAUCUAUUACCGAUAAUUUCAAUGCUUGCAGAGAAUACCUUGUUGAAAACCGUUUAUCAUUUUCUUCUGCUCCUCGUUGGGUUCGACACUCUUCUAUCGAAAGGACUACCAUAGAUCGCCUGUACUCACCGCCGCCUCCGAUCGCCGCCAUGCUCACCACCACCUCUCGCUGACAGGGCUUCGCCCGUACAUCUGGCACGAAGGGCAGGCGGAUCCGGCGGGGAGGUGUAGAAGGGCUCCCCGUCAUCCGUUCCCGCCGGCCACGUAGCUGGCCGAUCCGAAUCUGGUUGCUGACCUCAGGCACAGCGGUGUGGUGAGGCUAGAAGGAGGGACGGCAUCCUCAUAUCGUCGGGCAAGGUCUGCUUACCUCAGCCGAGCAGCGCUGUUGAUCUUCAUGGCGAGGCCCUCCCAGUCGGCGGUGAAGUAGCCGGAGCUGGACCGAGGUCGAGCGCGACAAGCUACUCNNNNNNNNNNNNNNNNNNNNNNNNNNNNNNNNNNNNNNNNNNNNNNNNNNNNNNNNNNNNNNNNNNNNNNNNNNNNNNNNNNNNNNNNNNNNNNNNNNNNNNNNNNNNNNNNNNNNNNNNNNNNNNNNNNNNNNNNNNNNNNNNNNNNNNNNNNNNNNNNNNNNNNNNNNNNNNNNNNNNNNNNNNNNNNNNNNNNNNNNNNNNNNNNNNNNNNNNNNNNNNNNNNNNNNNNNNNNNNNNNNNNNNNNNNNNNNNNNNNNNNNNAGGGGUUUCAUUCUGGUUCGCGUUGGUGCUCGGCAGGGGAAGCAGAUUUGCUCUUGCGCAUUGCUCUGCUAAAUGUGAAGAUUUUUCUGUUUUACAUGUGUUAUCCUGCUGGCCAGGUUUGGGUUUUGUUGGAGUAGAUGGUGUAUGUCUUCAUCUGUGAAGAGAAUGAUUUUGUCAAGGGAUUCAGCUAUAGUUUGUUGGCAGAAAAGUAAGAGGAUGAGGAUGCAACUAAUGAUAUUUCUGUAACUUCCCUCUGUCUUUUUGUCUGUUAUAGGUUUUAGAGUUAAAUGUAGAAGCAUUUGUUAGCUUGGAACUAUGAUACAGGUAUAGUUAGUAGUACCAAAUCUCUGCAAAGUGCUAGUAAGAAAAUGCUCGAAUGUUUAUGUUGCUGCCGGCAUGGCUGCCCUUCCUCUCAAUUAGUUUUCUGGAUGAUAUUUCAGUGAAGCAAUGGAUAUAAUCUGCACAUGCGUGCUCAUGCUAUCCAAGAAUUGAUGUAUUAAAAUGCCCAUGUGUAUUGUGCCUUUUUAGUGUCGUUUCGCCUGUAUUAAACAUCUACUGAAAAAUGCUUUAUGUGACUAGAAGAAAUCAAAGCCGUGGUACAUGUGCUGAAGUUUUUUGUCCCUAAUUUUUUCUUUCUUUCUUGGAACUUUGAUAUACGCUCAAGUGGUUUGUGCUUGCUCAUGCACUAACUGGUGUGCAAUGCCAGCUUCACUGGACUAUCACAUUUGUGAUUGAGCCAAUUGUCCUCAUUUCUUCACAAUUGUACGAUUAAGAUUUUACUUCUGUUUAUAGCGAAUGAUUUGUUAGGUUCUAGGCAUCUCAUCUACCCUGUGUAAAAGGAAAGAUAGUGUUUGCAUUCGAUUAUCUUUGUUUAUAUCAGCAGAGCAACUUCCCUGGGGAUGACAAAGAAAUUCGAUCCACAAAAUCUUUUGAAUUCAUUUCGUAUAUUUUUUUUUGAGCUGUGCUGUUUUCCAUAGUACUAAAUUUGUAUUAGUUAUUCCUACAAGUGUUAGUUAUUCAUAAGCAUAUAAUAUAAUCUGCUACUGUCAAAUUUUAGUUUACACUAACUUGUAAGCUAUACUGCUAGAUAGCACCUUAGUUAUUUCUUUAGUGAAUCAUCAGCAAGUUUCUUUGACCAUUUAACACCAGUAUUGAAAGUCCUUGCCUAUCACUGGUUUAUCUUGGUUCAAAUAUUAUUGAUAAUCUUCAAGUUAUCAUUGGCCAUGGACACCUUAUAUUGAGUUCAGUUUUGGACAUGCGUUCACUUAGUGUAGAAGUACAGGCUCAUUGUAUUCGCUUGUCGUUUCCCCUUUUCAUGAUAUGCUUGUACUGACAAAUUGAAUCACUGUUGGUGACAAUAUUUACGUCUGAAACUCUGGUAUUCUACUCUAUUUCCUGAUACCUUGUCAGUCAGUAUGUACUGAGUAUAUCUACAUUACAGGUUUCUGUAGUUCAAGAUUAAAGGCAAGAAUCAGGCAAAUAUGAUUAUGAGAACAAGGCUAAUGAUGGAGAACCUUCAUCUACGGAAGCUGAGCAGUCUAUUGGGAAAACUAAGUUUCAAUGUGCAUCCUGAGUUUCAGCUACCUGAAAUCAAAGGCCAAUUUCAGUCGAUCCCGAAGUAAACUACCACAUGUAAGUUUAGGGACACACAUUAGUUUCCGGCUAGGGAUUUAAUGGCUGCUGAACUUUAUGCACACAUGGUGUAGUAGAGAUGCAGGCUUCGUUAUCCUGCAGUUAUCUGAUUUUUUUCUGAACUGCACUCCUCUUGCCUUGAGUUUUGUUCUUAACCAAAUUAUUACUUACUGACAAACGAAUGCUUGUUUGCCGUCCUCACAUGUAUAUUCAGAUGAGGGGUACCCCAUGCUGCUGUUAGAUAAAUCAUGAAUCAAGAGAGCAUAGUGGAGAGAGGGGAGAGACCAAUAUACGUCUUUGUCAAAUGUUUUUAUUGACAAAUGCAUUCGAUUUAUUGGCAGCAACACAACAUUCCUUUGUUGGCAAAAGCAUUCGCCUGCCCAGAUGCAGAUUCUAUGUUUACCUUAGGAAGUUCUUUUAGCGUUCUACUUCUUGACUUCAAAUUUUGUAGUGUAUUGGAUUUUGAGAUAUAAGAUAGAUACUUAGUAUGAUUGUCUGGUUUAUGUGCUAGUCCCAGGUAAAAUCGGAGUUAGCUUCUUAUGAAUGUCGAACCAUUAAUAUCAACUUAACUCCUAACAGUGCUAGCUUACUUGCCAUAUCAAAUGACUCGGUAUGCAUCAGGCUAGCUAGGCGAUAUGAAAUUUUACUGUUCUGAUUGACGUGAUAUUUAGAGUUCUAAUUGACAUAUUCUUUUUCAAAUAUCCAGUUAAGACCUCUGUGUUCCUUCGUCCGGGGAGGGACAUGCACCACUCCUCUAAACCUCGUAAUGCAUGCAGCGUAGGAAUAUCUAGGUAAUCGGAAAGUCGGACUUUGAGCAGCAGAGGACAUGCUAUCUUUUUUGAAACAUAAAAAUAUCUUACCUGAUAUAUUAAGGGAACGCAGAUUUUCAUUUUGGAUAAGCAGAUCUUUUUUCUUCUGAUAAGCAGCUCUCCUCUAGGCAUUUUUAUGCUCUCUCUUGCGAUCUUCUUCACUUUUUGCCUAGUUUCUAUGGUGUCAUUCAAGACAGCUACUGGUGUCAUUCAGGACAUUCCCAAAAGACAGAGAAAAAAACAGAACCUGACAUCAAAUGAUUAUGGAAUACGUACAAUAUGAUUACCUUGUAGAUCUAUGUCAUGAAUAACACCGGAUGUGACCGUAGUUGAAGGAGGAAAUGUUGCAUCAUUAUGCGAGAAUGAUGUAUAGCUGGAGCUAGUUGGGUUGUCUGGUUAAACAAUGUUGUGAAAACAUAUUUAGAACUUAAUGGUUCAAACACGGGUAUGAUGCUUGCCUUGUAUUCGUCUACAUAUGUCCCGCCCAUAUGGCCUACAACACAUUAUGUAUACACCAUGUCACUGUCAGAAAUGCACGACUCGCAUGUGUAGGAAUUUUUGAUAGCGUGAAAUAUACCUGUAGGUAAGUCCUCCUCUGGUUGAUGUUCACUUGCCUUGCUUUUUGAAUUCCCCAUACGUACCUAUGUAAUGGCAGCUCCCUGACACGAAAAGACCAUUGCUUGAUGUAUGUAGCAAAAUAACGCAUUGCCUUUUUUCUUGCUUUUCAGAAGACAAGGAACAGGACACAGUUAUUUUCUGGAUUUCCAGAAGACAAGGACCAGGACCACAGCAAACAUCCUGUACUGUGCUUGCCAUGUUAAAAUUUCUUCUAGUCUUUUUUAUUAGAUUGACUACGUAUUUGGUACUGCCCAUUUGAUUUCAAGAGAAGUCCUAUUGUACAGGAAUUUGAAGAAAAAAGUACUGAUGCAACCAUGGAAGGGGUGGAAGGUAAAGCCAUUCUGAGGGAUAUAUGAACAGCGAAGAACUUAUUAACCAUUUUUUAUAAAACUUGAUGAUGAAUUGGUUACUAUAGUCCCAAAAUAAUUACCAUAUGUGAAGAAUAUUUGAAAGAGGGGGGGUUAUAUUUUCUUUGGAAGUGAGCUUAUUUGGAAGUAUCUUUAAGAAUUUGGUGGCAACAUAUGUUUAAUAAAUUCUUUUUGUGUGUGGCCAUGGUGUUUUCUUGCAUCACACUGUGUAAGCAUGUCUUUAUCUACUGAUUCUGGAUAUACCAUGAUGAAUAGUUUCUAAUUUCUUUCAAAAGUUGCUUUCAGAUUAACUGUGGUCAUUUGGCGUAAAAUAUUUGACGAUGGUUUUUUCUCCCAAACUGGCAAGGUAUUUUACUACCUAUAUUAAUUACUAGAAGGUGUGAUUUUGCUGUACAUAUUUAACCAAUAGUUUGUAGGUUCUACUUGGUACUGAUUGCCAUACCUACACUGUUGGAUCCUUUGCCCAACUUGCAACUGGAAACGUGAAACAGUGAUGCAGAUUUUGUGAUAGAUCUGGAAAGGCCUUUCGGAAGGUGUGCAAACAUGUAUCAUUGUUUCAUUGGAAAUGGUAUAACAAUGGAAAUAAUAUGUACGAACCAAUCUUUGCAACGAACAAUAGUGCAUAUAUUGAGUGUUGUGUCAUAUUAGCACCCUUUCCAUUCUGGUGCGAUAAAUAUAGGUUCUUAGCAUGUUUUUACUUUCUGUCAUGGACAUCUGUCUCUUUGUCAUAACGUAGUGAUAUGUCUUCAACGUAUCUAUAAUUUUUUAUUGUUCCAUGCUAUUAUAUUAUCCAUCUAGGAUGUUUUAUAUGCAUUUAUAUGCUAUUUUAUAUGAUUUUUGGGACUAACCUAUUAACCUAGAGCCCAGUGCCAGUUUCUGUUUUUUUCUUGUUUUUGAGUUUUGUAGAAAAGGAAUACCAAAUGGAGUCCAAUUGAUGUGCUAAUUUUUGAUGAUUUUUUAUGGACCAAAAGAAGCCCCCGGAGUAAAAGAGUUGGGCCAGAAGAGUCUCGGGCCAUCCACGAGGGUGGGGGACGCACCUACCCCCUGGGCGCGCCCCCCUAUUUUGUGGACGACUCGGAGACCCCCCUGACGUGAGACCUACGCCAAAAAUUCCUAUAAAUACAUAAACCCCCGGAACAUAACCUAGAUCGGGAGUUCCGCCGCCGCAAGGCUCUGUAGCCACCAAAAACCAAUUGGGACCCUGUUCCGGCACCCUGCCGGAGGGGGGAAUCCCUCGCCGGUGGCCAUCUUCAUCAUCCUGGCGCUCUCCAUGAUGAGGAGGGAGUAGUUCACCCUCGGGGCUGAGGGUAUGUACCAGUAGCUAUGUGUUUGAUCUCUCUCUUUCGUGUUCUUGAUUCGGCACGAUUUUGAUGUAUCGCGAGCUUUGCUAUUAUAGUUGGAUCUUAUGAUGUUUCUCGCCCUCUACUCUCUUGUAAUGGAUUGAGUUUUCCCUUUGAAGUUAUCUUAUCGGAUUAAGUCUUUAAGGAUUUGAGAAUACUUGAUGUAUGUCUUGCAUGUGCUUAUCUAUGGUGACAAUGGGAUAUUCACGUGAUCCACUUGAUGUAUGUUUUGGUGAUCAACUUGCGGGUUCCGUAACAUUGUGAACUUAUGCAUAGGGAUUGGCACACGUUUUCGUCUUGACUCUUCGGUAGAAACUUUGGGGCACUCUUUGAAGUUUUUUGUGUUGGUUGAAUAGAUGGAUCUGAGAUUGUGUGAUGCAUAUCGUAUAAUCAUACCCACGGAUACUUGAGGUGACAUUGGAGUAUCUAGGUGACAUUAGGGUUUUAGUUGAUAUGUGUCUUAAGGUGUUAUUCUAGUACGAACUCUAGGAUAGAUCGAACGGAAAGAAUAGCUUCGUGUUAUUUUACUACGGACUCUUGAAUAGAUCGAUCAGAAAGGAUAACUUUGAGGUGGUUUCGUACCCUACAAUAAUCUCUUCGUUUGUUCUCCGCUAUUAGUGACUUUGGAGUGACUCUUUGUUGCAUGUUGAGGGAUAGUUAUAUGAUCCAAUUAUGUUAUUAUUGUUGAGAGAACUUGCACUAGUGAAAGUAUGAACCCUAGGCCUUGUUUCAACGCAUUGCAAUAUCGUUUGUGCUCACUUUUAUCAUGAGUUACCUCGCUGUUUUUAUAUUUUUCAGAUUACAAAAACCUAUAUCUAUCAUCCAUAUUGCACUUGUAUCACCUUCUCUUCGCCGAACUAGUGUACCUAUACAAUUUACCAUUGUAUUCGGUGUGUUGGGGACACAAGAGACUCUUUGUUAUUUGGUUGCAGGGUUGUUUGAGAGAGACCAUCUUGAUCCUACGCCUCCCACGGAUUGAUAAACCUUAGGUCAUCCAUUUGAGGGAUACUGUCCUACAAACCUCUGCACUUGAAGGCCCAACAACGUCUACAAGAAGAAGGUUGUGUAGUAGACAUCACGUGGAUACAGAGUGAUGCCUAUGGGAAGAAGUGGUGCUUUGAUAUUUUAAUUAUUAUUUUUCAGGAGCCCCCAACUAUCAGGUACUAAAUAGAGAUAAGUUCAGAAUAUUUGAACAUGCGAUAGCUUUAUGAUAUGUGUAUAAACUGUGUAUAAACUUCAAAUAAUACCUAUAUCUGCAAUGAUCUCGUCGGCGUCUCCUCAACGGGGAUCAGCGCCGGCUCAGGGUAUAGGCGUGUGGCUCCUGAAGGGGAUCGUCGUCGGAUCCUGGACGUGAUCGUGGCGGGUCCUCAAAGGGAUCAGCGCCAGAUCUGGGGAUCGGCGUGCGGCUCCUGAAGGGGAUCAUCGCCGGAUCCUGAACGUGAUCGGCGACGGGUCCUAAACGGGAUCGGCGGCGUCUCCUCAAACGGAUCGUCCGAUGGAGGGCGGCGGCUUUGAUGUGCAAGGUCGGCGGCGAAGGGAUGGAGUGGCGGCGGCGAAGGAGGGUAGAGAGUCGUGCAAAGGAGGGCAGGGAGUCGUGCGUGCGAGUGGUUUUCGCUCGAGGGCAGGAGGCCUCGCUCAUACGUGUCUGCGAUUGGUUUAGUUUUUUUUUCGCUGGUUAAUUUUUGUAGGUUUUUUUUCGUCGGUUUUUUUCCUCCGCUUUUCUUGGGUGCGACGGGAGGUUAGCCUGUGGACUGCGUGGGGGCAUCCGGCAUCGCUACGAGGUUUUUUUGGUUCGACGCGGCUCACUGUGAGGUGGGAGGAGGGACGGAAAAAACCAGGGGAAGGUGGGACGAAAAAUAACCGUGGAACAGAGACUACCAACUGAGACAUUAGGAGUAGAUAUUUGGUGGCCUACUCUCUUCAAGGAUGCCCGUUAGUUUGGAGUCCCGUGUGAUGAAUGUCAAAGAAUUGGUAAUAUUAGUAGACGUCAAGAAAUGCCUAUGAAUUAUUCACUUGUUAUCGAACCAUUUGAUGUUUGGGGCUUUGAUUAUAUGGGACCUUUUCCUGCCUCUAAUGGAUACACACAUAUUUUAAUUGUUGUUGAUUACGUUACUAAGUGGGUAGAAGCUAUUCCAACUAGUAGUGUUGAUCAUAACACCUCUAUUAAGAUGCUUAAAAAGUUAUUUUUCCGAGGUUUGGAGUCCCUAGAUAUUUAAUGACUGCAUGGUGGUUCAUAUUUUAUUCAUGGUGCUUUCCGUAAAAUGCUUGCUAAGUAUGAUGUUAAUCAUAGAAUUGCAUCUCCUUAUCACCCACGGUCUAGUGGUCAAGUAGAAUUGAGUAAUAGAGAACUCAAAUUGAUUUUGCAAAAGACUGUUAAUAGAUCUAGGAAGAAUUGGUCCAAGAAACUUGAUGAUGCAUUAUGGGCCUAUAGAACUGCAUAUAAAAAUCCUAUGGGUAUGUCUCCGUAUAAAAUGGUUUAUAGAAAAGCAUGUCACUUACCUCUCGAACUAGAACAUAAGGCUUAUUGGGCUAUUAAAGAGCUCAAUUAUGAUUUCAAACUUGCCGGUGAGAAGAGGUUAUUCGACAUUAGCUCACUUGAUGAAUGGAGAACCCAAGCCUAUGAGAAUGCCAAGUUGUUUAAAGAAAAAGUUAAAAGAUGGCAUGACAAAAGGAUACAAAAGCGUGAGUUUAAUGUAGGUGAUUAUGUAUUGCUAUACAACUCUCGUUUAAGAUUUUUUGCAGGAAAAAUUCUCUCUAAAUGGGAAGGUCCUUACGUUAUCCAGGAGGUCUAUCGUUCCAGUGCCAUAAAAAUCAACAACUUCGAAGGCACAAAUCCGAAGGUGGUGAACGGACAAAGAAUCAAACAUUAUAUCUCAGGUAAUCCUAUAAAUGUUGAAACCAAUGUUAUUGAAACCGUAACCCCGGAGGAAUACAUAAGGGACACUUUCCAGAACGUUUCAGACUCCAAAAAGGAAGAGGUAUGUGGUAUGGUAAGUAAACCGACUCCAAAACAGUUCUAAUGGCAAUUUUUCUCCGUUUUGGAAUAUUUAGAAAAAUUGAAAAAUAAGAAGUAGUCCGGGAAGGACACGAGGGUGGAGGGCGCGCCCCCCUGCCUCGUGGGCACCUCGUGCGCUUUCCGGACUCCAUUUUCUUGCACAAUACGUAUUUUGGUCGGUAAAAAUUCAUUAUAUAAUCUUCCGAAGGUUUUGACUCCUGUAUCACCCAAUUAUCCUCUGUUCUUGUUUCGAGCUGUUUUCUGUCAGGGUUGUCAAGGCCAGGAAUCAUGUCGUCCCCCUCCUCCAACAAUGGUGACAAAGAUGCUUGGCUAAUGAAGAUAGAUCUGAGGAGGGAAGAACCCGUGGAAAUCAACAAGGAUGAAGGGAUCAAGAAGGCCACAAAGGACCAAGCUCCGGUAGCCGAAGACACCCUUCAACUUGAUCACAAUCUUCUCACCCCAACUGAGAUCGAAGCUUUCAAGAUGAUUGAGUUAGCUCGUAUACAAAACAAGUAUCUCACACGUGAAAAUAUUUUGUUGAAGGAGCAUAUCGUCGCACUCAAGGGCAUCAUCCGGAAGUUGGAGGAUCUCUUACGCUCGAUGUGCGAUUACCCGUCAUCAACAACUCCACCACCUUCCUCACCAACAAAGGAGAUAUAAUCACAUGGGUAUGGGCACUCCCCUUGGCAACUGCCAAGCUUGGGGGAGGUGCCCCGGUAUCGUAUCACCACCACAUCUCUAUCUUUACCGUUUUUCUUAGUCCGAUCCUUUUAGUAGUAUUUUGAUCUAGUAGAAUAAGGUUUUAGUAUGAUCUAGUUUUGAGUUUUGCUUUAUGAUCCCUCUAUGUAAUCGAGUCCGUGAGCUAUAUAAUAAAGAUUAAUGUUGAGUCAAGGGCUUGAUUAUUUUGCUAAGAUCUUAAGGGAAUAAAAGAAAAGAGAAAAAGAAUAAAAAGAAACAAAGAGAUCAUAUUGAUCUUAUGGAGAGUAAUGACUUCACAUAGAAAGAGUAUGAUGAUUAAAAUUAUUGAGAGUUGACAAACAUAGCUUUGGUCAUCGUUGCAAUUAAUAGGAAGUAAUAAAGAAAGAGAUGUUUCACAUAUAAAUAUACUAUCUUGGACAUCUUUUAUGAUUGGGAGCACUCAUUAAAAUAUGACAUGCUAAAGAGUUGAUGUUGGACAAGGAAGACAACGUAAUGGGUUAUGUUUUCUUAUAUCUGAAAUAAAGUAUAUUGUCAUGGAUCAUCCAACAUGUUGAGCUUGCUUUCCCCCCCUCAUGCUAGCCAAAUUCUUUGCACCAAGUAGAGAUACUACUUGUGCUUCCAAAUACCCUUAAACCUAGUUUUACCAUGAGAGUCCACCAUAUCUACCUAUGGAUUGAGUAAGAUCCAUCAAGUAGGUUGUCAUCGGUGCAAGCAAUAAAAAUUGCUCUCUAAAUAUGUAUGAUUGAUUGGUGUGGAGGAAAUAAGCUUUAUACGAUCUUGUGAUGUGGAAGAAAUAAAAGCGACGGACUACAUAAUAAAGGUCUAUAUCACAAGUGGCAAUAUAAAGUGACGUUCUUUCGCAUUAAAAUUUUGUGCAUCCAACCCUGAAAGCGCAUGGCAACCUCUGCUUCCCUCUGCGAAGGGCCUAUCUUUUAUUAUUAUCUUCUACCUUAUGCAAGAGUCAUGGUGAUCUUCACCUUUCCUUUUUACAUUUUAUCCUUUGGCAAGCACAGGAUGUUGGAAAGAUCCUGAUAUAUAUCUAAUUGGAUGUGGGUUAGCAUGAACUGUUAUUGUUGACAUUACCCUUGAGGUAAAAGGUUGGGAGGCGAAACUAUAAGCCCCUAUCUUUCUCUGUGUCCGGUUAAAACUCCAUAGCCACAAGUAUUGCGUGAGUGGUAGCAAUUGUGAAAGAUUAAAUGAUAGUUGAGUAUGUGGACUUGCUAAAAAGCUCUGACAUAGACUCUUUCUGAUGUUAUGAUAAAUUGCAAUUGCUUCAAUGACUGAGAUUAUAGUUUGUUAGUUCUCAAUAAAGUUUCUGAUUCAUACUUUGCAUUGUGAAUAGAUUAUUACUUGAGCAUAAGAAAUCAUAUGACAUUAUCCAUAUAUGUUGCUGUUAUGAGAAUAAUCAUGAUGCCCUCAUGUCCGUAUUUUAUUUUAUCGAUACCUCUACCUCUAAACCAUUGGACAUAUUUAUCGUUAUCGGCUUCCGCUUGAGGACAAGCGAGGUCUAAGCUUGGGGGAGUUGAUACGUCCAUUUUGCAUCAUGCUUUUAUAUCGAUAUUUAUUGCAUUAUGGGCUGUUAUUACACAUUAUUUCACAAUACUUAUACGUAUUCUCUCUUAUUUUACAAGGUUUACAUAAGGAGGGAGAAUGCCGGCAGCUGGAAUUCUGGGCUGGAAAAGGAGCAAAUAUUAGAGACCUAUUCUGCACAACUCCAAAAGUCCUGAAACUCCACGAAAGUUACUUUUGGAAAUAAUAAAAAAUACUGAGCGGAAGAAAUACCAUAGGGGGCCCACACCCUGGCCACGAGGGUGGGGGCGCGCCCUACCCCCUGGGCGCGCCCCCUGCCUCGUGGGCCCCCUGUUGGCCCUUCGAUGCCCAUCUUCUGCUAUAUGAAGUCUUUCGUCCGAUAAAAAAUCAGAAGCAAGCUUUCGGGACGAGACUCCGCCGCCAAGAGGCAGAACCUUGGCGGAACCAAUCUAGGGCUCUGGCAGAGCUGUUCUGUCGGGGACACUUCCCUCCGGGAGGGGGAAAUCAUAACCAUCGUCAUCACCAACGCUCCUCUCACCGGGAGAGGGCAAUCUCCAUCAACAUCUUCACCAGCACCAUCUCCUCUCAAACCCCAGUUCAUCUCUUGUAUCCAAUUCUUGUCUCUAAGUCUGGGAUUGGUACAUGUGGGUUGCUAAUAGUGUUGAUUACUCCUUGUAGUUGAUGCUAGUUGGUUUAUUUGGUGGAAGAUCAUAUGUUCAGAUCCUAUAUGCAUAUUAAUAGCCCUCUGAUUAUGAACUUGAAUAUGCUUUGUGAGUAGUUAUGUUUUUUCCUGAGGACAUGGGAGAAGUCUUGCUAUUAGUAGUCAUGUGAAUUUGACAUUCGUUCGAUAUUUUGAUGAGAUGUAUGUUGUCUCUCCUCUAGUGGUGUUAGGUGAACGUCGACUACAUCACACUUCACCAUUGUUUGGGCCUAGAGGAAGGCAUUGGGAAGUAAUAAGUAGAUGAUGGGUUGCUAGAGUGACAGAAGCUUAAACCCUAGUUUAUGUGUUGCUUCGUAAGGGGCUGAUUUGGAUCCAUAUGGUUCAUGCUAUGGUUAGGUUUACCUUAAUAUUUCUUUUGUAGUUGCGGAUGCUUGCAAUAGGGGUUAAUCAUAAGUGGGAUGCUUGUCCAAGUAAGGACAGCACCCAAGCACCGGUCCACCCACAUAUCAAAUUAUCAAAGUACCGAACGCGAAUCAUAUGAACGUGAUGAAAACUAGCUUGACGAUAAUUCCCAUGUGUCCUCGGGAGCGCUUUUCUUUAUAUAAGAGUUUGUCCAGGAUUGUCCUUUGCUACAAAAAGGAUUGGGCCACCUUGCUGUGCUUUAUUUACUUUUGCUACUUGUUGCUCGUUACAAAUUAUCUUAUCACAAAACUAUCUGUUACCUUAAUUUUAGUGCUUGCAGAGAAUACCUUGCUGAAAACCGCUUAUCAUUUCCUUCUGCUCCUCGUUGGGUUCGACACUCUUACUUAUCGAAAGGACUAUGAUAGAUCCCCUAUACUUGUGGGUCAUCAUGCUUGCAUUGCCGGAAAGCUUCAUGAAAAAGCUCAUAAAGUGAAGACUAUCAUCACCACCUUGAGGCCCCUUGAGCUUAUCCAUUUGGAUCUUUUUGGGCCUCCAACUUAUGAUAGUUUGGGAGGGAGGAGGUAUUGCCUUGUCAUUGUUGAUGACUUCACAAGAUAUACUUAGGUGUUCUUUCUCAAGACCAAAGAUGAAACUCAAGAAACCUUCAUCAACUUUGCCAAAGAAGCUCAACGUCAACAUAAUUGUGAGAUCAAGUCAAUUCGAAGUGACAAUGGCACCGAGUUCAAGAACUACAUGAUGGAUGAAUUCUUGAGUGAAGAGGGGAUAAAGCAUAAAUAUGCCGCACCAUAUACUCCCCAACAAAAUGGUGUUGCGGAGAGGAAGAAUUAGACUCUUAUUGAGAUGGCUAGGACUAUGUUUGACGAGUACAAGUCUCCAUACAAGCUUUGGGCCGAAGCCAUCAACACCACGUGUCAUGCUUCAAACCGGCUUUAUCUUCGCAAGCUCAAGAACAAGAUCCCAUAUGAGCUCCUAAUCGGGAGAAACCCUAACGUCAAAUACUUUCGGGUAUUCGGUUGUAAGUGUUUCAUUUUAAACAAGAAAUCCCGGUUAGCUAAGUUUGAGUCUAGAACUUAUGAGGGCAUAUUUGUUGGAAUGCAUCAAACUCUCAUGCUUACCGAGUUCUCAAUAAAUCCACUGGAUGCAUUGAGGAAACGGUAAAUGUGAAGUUUGAUGAAGAUAACGGCUCCCGUGUGGAGCAAAUUGUUCCUAGUGUUGUAGGUGAUGAGGCUCCUUCACAAGCUAUAAGGACGAUGGGGAUAGGCCACAUUCUUCCACAAGAAACACCCCAAGUCCAAGUAGAAGAAGAAGGAGUAAUAGCCCCUCUUGUGGAGUCUCCACAAGGGAAGUCAUCACCGGCACCUCUUGAACAAGAUGCUACGGGAGAUCAUGUACCUAUCCAAGAACAAGAUCAAGUCCCUCAUAUUCCCAAGCAAGAUCAAGAGAAAGAUCAUUCAAAUGGUGAAUAACCAAUUACUGAGGCUCAAGAUCAAGAUCAACCCCAACCGCAAGUGUCUUCAUCAUCAUCACUUUCCAAUGAGCAAGAACUUGUGGUUGCGAAGAGAAGGGUGUCACCGAGGCCAAAACAAUCUCAAGGUCAAGCUUCUUCAUCAAGUCCAAAACCAAGUGAAGAAGAGCUUGCAAUUAUGGAGCAAAAAGUGGCUGCCAAGCUAAAGCAUCUUCAACAUCUCACCGAGAACAUCUAUGGAAGCAUGAAAGGGGGUAACUACUCAUAGACGUUUGGCAAACUUUUGUGAACAUCACUCUUUUGUCUCUUGUAUUGAGUCCCUUAAGGUGGAAGAUGCACUUGACGAUCCGGUUUGGAUAGAUGACAUGCAUGAACUCAACUACUUUACCCGCACCAAAGUGUGGACCCUUGUGGAAAGACCCAAAGAGCAUCAUAAUGUCAUUGGAACAAAGUGGAUCUUCAAGAACAAGCAAGAUGAACAUGGACAAGUAAUAAGGAACAAGGCAAGGUUAGUGGCACAAGGUUUCACCCAAGUUGAAGGUUUGGACUUUGGUGUAACUUUUGCCCCCGUUGCCCGUCUCGAAUCCAUUCGCAUCUUGCUUGCUUAUGCCUCUCAUCAUGAUUUUAAAUUAUAUCAAAUGGAUGUGAAUAGUGAAUUUCUUAAUGGUCCUCUUAAGGAGUUGGUGUAUGUCAAGCAACCUCCCAGUUUCGAAGACCCCGAUCACCCCUUUCACGUUUAUGAACUCCAUAAGGCACUCUAUGGACUCAAACAAGCACCUCGUGCUUGGUAUGAUCACCUUAUGGCGUUCCUAAGCGAGAAAGGGUUCCAGAUUGGGGCAAUAGAUUCCACUCUCUUCACAAAGAGGGUAAAAGGAGAGUUGUUUGUUUGUCAAAUUUAUGUUGAUGAUAUUAUCAUUGGGUCCACUAACCAUGCUAUUAACGUUGAGUUUGAGAAUCUUAUGAUUAAUGAAUUUGCUAUGAGCAUGAUGGGAGAGUUAAAGUUCUUCCUCGGUUUUCAAGUGAAGCAAUUGAGAGGAGGAACCUUCAUCAACCAAUCUCGCUAUAUUCAAGACAUGCUCAAGAGAUUCAAAAUGCAAGAUGUCAAGCCAAUGAAGACAUCCAUGCCCACAAAUGGUCAACUUCAUCUUGAUCGCAAUGGUAAAGAAGUGGAUCACAAGGUAUAUCGCUCCAUGAUCGGUUCCUUGCUUUACCUUUGUGCAUCUAGACCGGAUAUUAUGUUGAGUGUGUGUAUGUGUGCAAGAUUUCAAUCCGCUCCUAAGGAGAGCCACUAUUCGGCAGUGAAAAGAAUCCUUCGAUAUUUGGUUCAUACCCCAAACUUGGGCCUUUGGUAUCCCAAAGGAUCAUUGUUUGAGUUAAUGGGAUGCUCUGAUUCGAUUGGGCCGGAGACAAGGUUGACCGCAAGUACACUUCUGGUUCAUGUCAAUUUCUAGGGAGAUCGUUCGUAAGUUGGUCUUCAAAUAAGAAAAAUUGUAUAUCUCUCUCUACGGCCGAAGCCGAGUACAUUGCCGCCGGAAGUUAUUGUGCUCAGUUAUUAUGGAUGAGGCAAACUUUGAUGGAUUAUGGUGUCAAAUGUGACAAAGUGCCUCUUUGGUGCGACAAUGAAAGUGCAAUCAAGAUCGCCGAGAAUCCGGUCCAACACAGCAAGACCAAGCAUAUUGAGAUUCGUCAUCACUUCAUUAGGGAUCAUGUGGCCAAGGGGAACAUUGAAUUACUCCAUGUCAACACUGAGAAUCAACUAGCCGAUAUCUUCACCCAAGCCACUUGAAGAAGCAAGAUUCCGUGAGUUAAGGCAUGAGCUAAAUAUCGUGGAUAUAAGUAACUUGUGUUGAAACUCUUGCUCAUGCACACAUACUCACACUAGUACGCAUCGGUCCUAUACAAACGAUUUUUAACCCCUUUCUGCGACGGUAUUUGGAACCGUUGCCUAGUGAGUGUGGGCGAUAGGGGGGGGGGGGUCCUUCCCACAUGACCCAGAAACCGUCGGGGAUAUGCCCUCCCGGCACACACACACUCGACAAAAUGAGGUCGCGUGCGGGAAUACGUACAGUAGAGCUAAAAAUACAAUUAUACGGCGAAAUUGUUUCCGAUCGCAAGUACAUCCCACACAGUCAGUCCCCGCUAAACGUUUCGUUCGUAUGUACAUCCCACAUAGUCGCUCCAAGGAAAACGUUUCCGUUCAUAGGUAAAUCACACACAAUUUUUCCCGUUAAAUCGUUUGCGUUAUUGAAUGUAUCACACACGGUCCAUAGAAGAAACUAUGUGGGAAAGGCUGUCCAUCACACAUAGUUUUUAUGUGGUAAACGUUUGCGCAAGGUGGCCUAACGCAAACAUUUUUCAAGAUAAAGUCGUGUGUGAUUGUUCAUUGAUCCAACACGGUUUAUUCCUAGAAAAUGUGUGCGUUGCUUGAGGUCAUCGCCCACGAUAUUUUUUUAACAACCGUUUGCGAUAGCAAAACCCAAUUAGCAGGCUAAUUGCCCUAUUAUUAAUAAUCCAUUUAUUAAUCUAACUGACAUUCAUAUUAAGCACAUAAUAUAUUUCAUUUCCAUAUUAAGGAAGCAGAAUUUCAUAAUUGAAAUACAUCAAAGUACAACAUGAUAUAGCUUCAACACUCAGCUACCCCGUUACACAACUGCACCACCACCAAGUUUCACAUGCAACAUGUAGAACCUUUCGAAAUUAGCAUCAUAGAUGGUAUAUAGACAGAUGCAUCUCAUCUGGAAAACUGCUGAAGCGGAAGGCGAAUAUUGAGCCUUCAUUCAUGUUGAAGGUCUUUGCAACUUUAGGCCAGUGCCUGUGGAUGAUUGACCGUCCGUCUUUCGUCCUCUUCAGGAACACUUCAAUAUUGAACCGUGGCUAUUGUAUGAAAACCUUCCUCGCCUCCUGACCAUAGAGGUGGUUUGAGAGGUAAUCAUCAGUGAACUGCUUUGGAAAGGCCUGAAAACAAGGAUGUGCAUAAAUAUCUUCUCUAUAUUGGAAAUGGGGCAAAGGAAUAAAAAAAGGCAAGGUAUAACAGUUAGUACCAUCUUGUAGUGAACUGAUGUCUUCUUCAUUGUGCAGACAAAGAUCUUGUUGUUUUUGUCACUAAUUUCUUUGUCCUAACAACCUUCCCGAGCUUCUUGAUUUGAUUGAUAUUCAUGGACAACUCAUUUCCCCAUAUGCAAAAAGGGUCGAACAGUGGGUCAAAACCUCUAACAGCAGGACGUACAUGUGCAAGACCAAAUUGUUAAAAACCAAAAUAUUAGAAUGGUUCCCGCAAUUGCACAAUAAUGUGCUAUUAGACAACGGACCAUGCACGUGCUAACGUUGAUUGUAAACCUCAGUGCUUCCCAUUGUUUCCCUGCAACACAUAUAAGGUAGUUAGUCAUCAGGUUAAGUAAGGGUUCGCUUGCUAUCAGUAAAAUAUGUUGAUGAAAAAUAAGCAUAUUUCAGAUUCAUCAGAUUAAUUCAAGCCACAUGGAAAACCCAUUUAUCCAAACCAAGCAUGAUUAAUAACUAGGAAAUAUAGCACUUGUAUAUGUUUCUCAUGUAUUAAGUGCAGCCAAAUUCGAUUUAUUCCUCACAUGCACAACAAUACAAAAUUCUACCCACGACAAUUGGACAUCGCAUUGCAGAAUUGAACCAAGCAGUUAACUAAACACCACAACAAAUGAACCAACAUUAACUGAGCACCACAUUGCACAAUAUAACAUACUCCUAAUAUAAGAUUAGACAGUUAACCAAACAGUUAACUACAGCCAAUUGUAGCAAUUGUAUUUGUUUUUCAUUUAUUUACUACAGCCAAAUUCAAUUUAUUCCUCACAUGGUAUACAAUAACAGAAUGCACCCACAACUAUUGAAUAGCGCAUGGCAGAUUGAACAAAACAGUUAACUAAACACCACAACACAAAUGAACCAAACGUUAACUGAGCACCACAUUGCACAAUGUAUAACCAAACCAAGCAUGCUUGACAACUUGGAAAUAUAGCAAUUGUAUUCGUUUCUCAUGUAUUUUGUAAAGAUAAAUUCACUUUAUUUCUCACAUGGAAGAGAAUACAAAAUUGCAUCCUGAAGAAUUGAACAUUACAUUUGCAGAAUUGAACCAAACAGUUAACUGAAGAUGACAACUGAUUAACAGAAUAGUUAAUAAGUGAGCACCACACUGCACGACAUAUAGAACAUAUACACUAGAGCAAUAGAUUGCAUGGUAAAAUUAGAUAGCACAAUUCACUAGAAUUUGUGAAGGAAAGGCAGGAGCAGCACACGCAACGGGUAAACCGAGCAUGCUUAACCGGCGUAGCUAGCAAAUGGCAAGGUGCUCCUCCAAGAUCUGGGGGUCAGCACGAAUGGCAGCAAUCGUGACCUCAUCCGCGCGUCCGGUCGCGAUUUGCUUGUCCGCUGCCAAAUGCUCCUUGAGAUCCUGGCUAUACUGCGUGCACCAUGGCUUAGGGCCGCACUUAUUUGGUGGAGGGGUCGGUGAUUUGGGUGGAAGGUGUCGCGCUCGCGCCGGCGGUCGAGGCAUGUGGGAUGUGGAAGGAUGGGGGUCGGGUGUGGAUUACCUGCCUGGAUAGACGAGGCCGAGCAGCGUGAAGGAGGGUCGCCGACGAGGAGGCGGCGGCGCUGCAAGCAAGGAGUGAAGGUUUCAACUUGGAAAGGAAGGCGGAAACAGGGAAAAUGUGGCUUUUGGUAAGGGGGAGGGGGCGGGGAGGUAGAUAUUUCCGCGGAAGCCGAAAAUUUGGAAUCGCUUCAGCGAAAAAACUGGCACGCGAAGUGUUAUCAGACACGGUCCCUUAUUCAGAACUGUGUACGAUAUGUGAACAUCACAAACGAUUCAAAUAGCUUAACCCGUGUGUGAUGAGUUUGAACGUCAAAAAUUUUGGUUCGAAUUUCCAUGGUUAUAGUGUUCAUCCACGUCAUUGCAUAAUUUGGGUACACAAAGGAGACUACAGCACACCCACACUUCUUAAUCGAGCAAGUUCGGCAAUUAAACAGAGCUAGCUGACCUAAAAAUUACUCUAACAAAUUAAUGACCGUCGCUCUUAAUUAAACAAAACAAAUAGUACUACUACGGCUGGUUCUCGUCGAUCUCCGCCGCCGCCUCCAUGUCCAGCUCGCGCCCGACGGUCUCCUGGGGAAGGGGCUCCAUGGCACCCAUCGCACCAUACUUGGCAAGCAUCUCGCCAUCCGCAUCUGCCAUCUCUUUGGAAAAGGCCGCCACGAGCUGGGCCUGGGCGGACGCGAUCUGGGCUUGUACGGGCUCCGUCGUCACAAGGUAUGCGGCGGAGGAACGGAAGGCUGCUCGAACGCUCUCGGCGAUUGCCGGCUCUUCGGCCGUGGGUUGCCGAGCGUUGUCGGAGAAGCUUCGUUCGAUUUGUGCGGUGAUCGCCAGGAGCUAGGAGUGGGUGGCCUCGACAUGGUCGUGGGCGGCCUCCAUCAGGGCUAAGGCCGCCGCUGCGGAACGGACAGCUGUUGUGCCGCUCUCGCCAGUUGUUAUCCCUGAGCCAGAUGUUGUUGCCGCCACCUGAGAGGCAAUAGCGGCCGUUUGGGCUGCCAUGGCUGCCCGGUCGCAGAAUGCGGCCGCGCUCAUGCACCUUGUUAGCAAGCGCAUGGCGUCUGCGGCCGCGCUCUCGUUGGAGUGGGCCACCAAAGUUGCCCUGACGACGCGGGUCCACGUGCCCAUCUUUCACCGACGACGAUUGAACAGUGAAAUGAUAUUUGGGGAGCGAGCUAGUGUGCUUGAAGACGCCUGCUGUGGACUGUAGCCGGCGCACCUUCUCGCGUAAGCCAUAGGCGUACUAUACACCGACGGUGCUCCAGGAUAUUUUGUGCUGCAUCUCACACGGUUGGUGAUAAUAAACUGUGUGUGAUCUACUUGAUUUUUCAUCUUGAUUUGAAUUACAUAAUGGGGUCACAGCGGCAAUGGACGGUGUUUGAAUUGCUAGACCUUUUAUCUGGAGUGAACAUGCAACUAUAUGUGUGUCGUAAAAGAAUUGGAGUUAUUCAGGGUUCGUUUGAACAUUUUAUACAUUAAAUUGGGUUUCUAGCCAUUUCAGGUGCACAAUUCAAAAUUAAACUACAUGCACAUGCUCCGGUGCACCAACAUGGGUUGUAAAAUCAUAUAUGUGUCCAUGGGUUUAUGCUUAUCUCCCAUGCAAGAAAUGGGGAUGAAAUUCGAACGCCAUAGCAUCGUGGCUCUCCGGCAAACGUCGACGUACUUGCUUUUGUAAUUCUAGUAAAUCCAAAAUUCAUGAAACUUGGCAUGCUAUCAUGGAGCGGCAUCAACAUGCCGUGGUAAAUUUUUUGUCCCAUUUGGGGCAGGUUUGGGUAUAAGCUUCUCAUAAACCAGAGCUUCUCACAACAAGUGUGAUGGUUUCGGUAGGGAACGUUUCACCUUUCUGGACGAAACAAUAUUCGUUGCCUCUUCUCGAUUUCAAAUUUUUUCCUAGUGUCAACAUAGAACAACAGGAGUGUUGUGUCAAUUUUUGGGAUUUUUCGGGGUUCGCUGUAACGCCCAUGAUGCGGCUAUAUCUCCCACGUGUCGAGGCACAACCGCAUUGUGGUAUUGUCGCAAGAAGGGUUAUCUUCACACAAUCCCAUGUAAUGAACAAGAAUGGGAUAACGAGAGUUGGCUUACAAUCGCCACUUCACACAAUACAUAAAUUAAUUCAUACAUCAUCCAAAAUCCACACAUAGGCCGAGUACGGUCAAAUCCAAAUGAAAAUAAGAUAACCCCAAAUGCUAGAACCCCGAUCGUCCCAACUGGGCUCCACUACUGAUCAUCAGGAAAAGAAACAUAGUAACGACCACGUUCCUCGUCGAACUCCCACUUGAGCUCGGUUGCAUCAUCUGCACUGGUAUCGUCGGCACCUGCAACUGUUUUAGUAGAAUCUGUGAGUCAAGAGGACUCAGCAAUCUCACACCCGCGAGAUCAAGACUAUUUGAGCUUAUAGGAAAGGAUGGUGUAAUGAGGUGGAGCUGCAGCAGGCACUAAGCAUAUAUGGUGGCUAACAUACGCAAAGAGAGCGAGAAGAGAAGCAACGCAACGGUCGCGAAGCUAGAAAUGAUCAAGAAGUGAUCCUGAAACUACUUACGUUCAUACAUAACUCAAACCGUGUUCACUUCCCGGACUCCGCCGAGAAGAGACCAUCACGGCUACACACACGGUUGAUGUAUUUUAAUUAAAUCAAGUGUCAAGUUCCCUACAACCGGACAUUAACAAAUUCCCAUCUGCCUCAUAACCGCGGGCACGGCUUUCGAAAGAUAAUACCCUGCAGGGGUGUCCCAACUUAGCCCAUUAUAAGCUCUCAUGGUCAACGAAGGAUAAACCUUCUCCCGGGAAGACCCGAUCAGUCUCGGAAUCCCAGUUUACAAGACAUUUCGACAAUGGUAAAACAAGACCAGCAAAGCCGCCCGAUGUGCCGACAAAUUCCGAUAGGAGCUGCACAUAUCUCGUUCUCAGGGCACAACGGAUGAGACAUCCUACGAGUAAAACCAGGCCUCAAGUUUCCCCGAGGUGGCCCCGCAGUCUACUCAGUUCGGACCAACACUCGAAGGAGCACUGGCCCCGGGGGGGUUAAAAUAAAGAUGACCCUCGGGCUCACGAAAACCCAAGGGAAAAGGCUUAGGUGGAAAAUGGUAAAACCAAGGUUGGGCCUUGCUGGAGGAGUUUUAUUCAAGGCGAACUGUCAAGGGGGUCCCAUAAAUCACCCAACCGCGUAAGGAAUGCAAACUCCAGGAACAUAAUACCGGUAUGAUGGAAACUAGGGCGGCAAGAGUGGAACAAAACACCAGGCAUAAGGCCGAGCCUUCCACCCUUUACCAAAUAUGUAGAUGCAUUAAUUAAAUAAGAGAUAUUGUGAUAUUCCAAAAUAUCCAUGUUCCAACAUGGAACCAACUUCAACUUCACCUGCAACUAGCAACGAUAUAAGAAGGGCUGAGCAAAAGCGGUAACUUAGCCAAAUAACGGUUUGCUAGGAAAGGAUGGUUAGAGGCUUGACAUGGCAAUAUGGGAGGCAUGAUAUAGCAAGUGGUAGGUAGCGUAGCAUAGCAGUAGAACGAAUAACUAGCAAAGCAAAGAUGGAAGUGAUUUCGAGGGUAUGGUCAUCUUGCCUGCAAGGUUCUCAGAGUUGUCGAAAGCUUGAUCCUCGUAAGCGUACUCAACAGGUUCCUCGUUCACGAACUCGUCUCCCGGCUCUAUCCACAGCAAGAACACAAGCAACGAACCACAAUCAAUCACGGGAAAUGCACAAGCAACAUGAUGCAAAACAUGCAUGAUAUGCGAGAUGUGGUAUGCGAUGCAUAUGUGUGCUCCGGAAGAAAAAGAAUGAAGAAGGUAGUAACUUGGCAAACCAAGUAUGCCACUGGAAAUAUGAGAUGAUUUCGGUCGAAAUCGAUAUAAAGAUCACCGGAAACGGAUACACGGUUUGCAAAUGGCAAGCAAAACAAGAAUGACACGAUUCUGCAAUUAACAGCAUGAUAGCACUUAGAAUACAUCAAGUAACUAUGCUAUAGCACCCCAACAUAGCAACAAAGCAUAUGGCAGUAAUCUAUAGGAGAUGCUUGACAAAAGAUGAACACUGAGCUAUGGCUAGAUCACAAAAUAACAGGUUCAAACAAGCAUGACAAAAGUGCAAAAGAUAUCAGGUUCACAGACGGUGAAAUUACUGGACAUGGCUGAAACAGCAUCAGGUAGCAAUGUUCAGAGCAAGAAAAACACAUGCUAAAAGAAUUUAACGUAGCAAAACAAGGCAUGGAAUAAAUCUACUAAAUUCAUAGAACAAAAGUCCCUUACUGACCAUAAGCCAAAAAGGAUCAUAACAUACGAUGGCAACCAUCUAAACAUAGCAAGUUUCGUUAACAGGUUUCAGACAGCAGAAAACAGAGCAUGACAGAAACAGUAUUAUGAAGGCAUCUUGGUGAGCUUGAUUCACUCACCACCAAGCAAUGCAUGACAAAAAAAGCAUACCUACGGCAAGAUGGAAUGUUUAUGAAGCUAACCAUGGCAAGAGCAAAUACAUAGCAUGAAAGGAUCAACUACAACAAGCUUGGCAAAAUUGAAUAUCAUGUUAACAAUCUGCCAGGAAUAUUUUAUAGCAAAAGUAGAGCAAGAUUAAGACAUGCUAUGGCACUCCAUAAUUGCAAACAGGGGCAUGGAUGGAUAGAACACAACAAUAUAUACACAACAUCCUUACUGAACAUGCCCAAAAGAAGCAUAGAUCUCUCUGUAGACACAUGGAUACAUGGCAACAAAAUUAUAGCAGUCACAGACUUAGCAAAAUUUCGAAGUCCCUGAAAACAGAAACAUCACGAAGCGUAGUUUGCAUGCUUGUGCUAGUCACCAUAUAGAUCAAAAAAAUACAUGGAAUAUACCUCUGUAAAUAUGGCAUGGCAUAGAUCAAAACACGUGUAGAGCUCAUGCCCAUAAAAUGCACACAUCGAAUGCAACAAAAAUAACAAAACUCCAAGUUCUGAUAAAUAACAGCAGUAAACAUCAUAUAGCACUCUUGCACCAGAGAUUUGGGCAUCAAGAUGGACUCAAAUGAGCAUGGCACAAUGUAACAAAAUUUAGAGCAUCUCGAGGAUGUAUCAUGCACGCAAAACGGAGCAGUAUGCAGAGAGUUAUGAUGCGAUGAACAGAGCCACUUAUUGCAAAUAUAUCGGGACUUGGAAGAUUUUCGGGGGGGAGAAAGUCAACCGUCUCGAUCUGGAUCUGGCGCGGCUCGGGCGCGCGGUCGCCGAGGAUCGCCGGGGCUGGCGCGGCUGUCGGAGACGGAGGGAGACGGCGCGCUCGGGCGGAGAGGAGGAGGCGGAGGCGCCGGGGUUCGGGCGGCGCUCGCCGGCGGGAGGAGGCGGCNNNNNNNNNNNNNNNNNNNNNNNNNNNNNNNNNNNNNNNNNNNNNNNNNNNNNNNNNNNNNNNNNNNNNNNNNNNNNNNNNNNNNNNNNNNNNNNNNNNNNNNNNNNNNNNNNNNNNNNNNNNNNNNNNNNNNNNNNNNNNNNNNNNNNNNNNNNNNNNNNNNNNNNNNNNNNNNNNNNNNNNNNNNNNNNNNNNNNNNNNNNNNNNNNNNNNNNNNNNNNNNNNNNNNNNNNNNNNNNNNNNNNNNNNNNNNNNNNNNNNNNNNNNNNNNNNNNNNNNNNNNNNNNNNNNNNNNNNNNNNNNNNNNNNNNNNNNNNNNNNNNNNNNNNNNNNNNNNNNNNNNNNNNNNNNNNNNNNNNNNNNNNNNNNNNNNNNNNNNNNNNNNNNNNNNNNNNNNNNNNNNNNNNNNNNNNNNNNNNNNNNNNNNNNNNNNNNNNNNNNNNNNNNNNNNNNNNNNNNNNNNNNNNNNNNNNNNNNNNNNNNNNNNNNNNNNNNNNNNNNNNNNNNNNNNNNNNNNNNNNNNNNNNNNNNNNNNNNNNNNNNNNNNNNNNNNNNNNNNNNNNNNNNNNNNNNNNNNNNNNNNNNNNNNNNNNNNNNNNNNNNNNNNNNNNNNNNNNNNNNNNNNNNNNNNNNNNNNNNNNNNNNNNNNNNNNNNNNNNNNNNGCUGACGUGGUGGCGGCGGAUUGGGCGAGGGCGGCGGCGCAGUUUGUCCGGCGCGCGGAGGGAGCGGUGGCUAGGGUUUGGACCCGGAAUUCGGGGGAGAUGUGCACAUAUUUAUAGGUAGAGGGAGCUAGGAGGCUCCAAAUGGAGUGCGGUUUUCGCCCACACGAUCGGGAUCGAACGACCGAGAGCAUGGAAGGGGCUUAGAGGGGUUAUUGGACUGUUUGGAGGGGGGGUUUUGCUGCAACACACAAAAGACCUUUGCGGUUACCCGGUUAACCGUUGGAGCACCAAACGACCUCCAAAUGGAACGAAACUUGACAGGUGGUCUACCGGUGGUAUACCAAGGCCACUUGACAAAACUUGGUCCAUUCCGAGAAUGUUUAACACCCGCUCACGAAAAGAGACAAGAGGGGUGCGCCGGUGCAUGUGGGAGUGUCAGAUUGCAAAACGGACAACGGGGAAAAUGCUCGGAUGCAUGAGACGAACACGAAUGCAAAUGAGAUGCGCAUGAUGACAUGAUAUGAGAUGCAUGACAUGAACAAAAUGCAAAACGGAAGACAAAAACCCAACCACGGAGGGAAUAUCAUAACACAUGACCGAAAAUGGCAAGAGUUGGAGUUACAAAUAUGGAAAGUUACAUCCGGGGUGUUACAUUCGCUUGGACAUUUUUAUACAUUAACUGAGUUUUAUGUGCAUUCAUGUGCAUAAUUCAAAUUUGAACUACAGGCACAUGCUCCAAUGCAUAUAAAUUAGUUGAAAAUUCAAAUAUGUGUCCUUGGUUGCCUGCUUAGGUCCCAUGCAAGAAAUGGGAAUGAAUGUCAAACACCCUGCCACCGUCACUCGGCCGCAAACAUUGAGAUACCUGGUUUUUAAAUUCUAGUAAAUCCAAAACUCGUCUGAAAUUCAUGAAACUUGGCAUGCUAUUAUGGAGCGGCAUCAACAUGCCGUGGAAAUUUUUUGUCCUAUUUGGGGCAGGUUUGGGUAUAUGCUUCUCACAAACCAGAGCUUCUCACAUAAAGCAUGAUGGUUUCCGAUGGGAAUGUCCCACCUUUGGGGACGAAACGAUAUCCAUUGCCUCUUAUUGCUUCCAAUUUUUUUCUCGUGUCAACAUAGAACAACAGGAGUGUUGUGUCAAUUUUAGUGAUUUUUCGGGGUUCGUUUGGACAUUUUUAUGCAUUAACUGAGUUUUCAAUGCAUUUAUUUGCAUAAUUCAAAUUUGAACUACAUGCACAUGCUCCAGUGCAUAUAAAUUGGUUGAAAAAUCAAAUAUUUGUCCUUGGGUGCAUGCUUAGGUCCCAUGCAAGAAAUGGGAAUGAAUUUCAAACACCAGGGGACCGUUGAUUGCCGGCAAAACAUUGAGAUGCCUGGUUUUUAAAUUCUAGUAAAUCCAAAACUUUUCUGAAGUUCAUGAAACUAAGCAUGUUAUCAUGGAGCGGCAUCAACAUGUCGUGAUAAAAUUUUUGUCCCAUUUGGGGCAGGUUUGGGUAUAUGCUUCUCACAGACCAGAGCUUCUCACAACAAGCAUGAUGGUUUCGAUAGGGAACGUCCCACCUUUGGGGACGAAACGAUAUCCAUUGCCUCUUAUUGCUUUCAAAAAAUUUCUCGUGUCAACAUAGAACAACAGGAGUGUUGUGUCAACUUUUGUGAUUUUUCGGGGUUCGUUUGGACAUUUUUAUGCAUUAACUGAGUUUUCAGUGCAUUUAUGUGCAUAAUUCAAAUUUGAACUACAUGCAAAUGCUCCAGUGCAUAUAAAUUGGUUGAAAAAUCAAAUAUGUGUCCUUGGGUGCAUGCUUAUGUCCCAUGUAAGAAAUGGGAAUGAAUUUCAAACACCAGGGCACCAUUGAUUGCCGGCAAAACAUUGAGAUGCCUGGUUUUUAAAUUCUAGUAAAUCCAAAACUCAUCUGAAAUUCAUGAAACUUGGCAUGCUAUUAUGGAGCGGCAUCAACAUGCCGUGGAAAUUUUUUGUCCCAUUUGGGGCAGGUUUGGGUAUAUGCUUCUCACAAACCAGAGCUUCUCACAUAAAGCAUGAUGGUUUCGGAAGGGAACGUCCCACCUUUGGGGACGAAACGAUAUCCAUUGCCUCUUAUUGCUUCCAAAAAAAUUUCAUGUCAACAUAGAACAACAGGAGUGUUGUGUCAAUUUUCGUGAUUUUUCGGGGUUCGUUUGGACAUUUUUAUGCAUUAACUGAGUUUUCAAUGCAUUUAUGUGCAUAAUUCAAAUUUGAACUACACGCACAUGCUCCAGUGCAUAUAAAUUAGUUGAAAAAUAAAAUAUGUGUCCUUGGGUGCAUGCUUAGGUCCCAUGCAAGAAAUGGGAAUGAAUUUCAAACACCAGGGCACCGUUGAUUGCCGGCAAAACAUUGAGAUGCCUGGUUUUUAAAUUCUAGUAAAUCCAAAACUCGUCUGAAAUUCAUGAAACUUGGCAUGCUAUCAUGGAGCGGCAUCAACAUGUCGUGGUAAUUUUUUUGUCCCAUUAGGGGCAGGUUUGGGUAUAUGCUUCUCACAAACCAGAGCUUCUCACAACAAGCAUGACGGUUUCGAUAGGGAACGUCCCACCUUUGGGGACGAAACGAUAUCCAUUGCCUCUUAUUGCUUUCAAAAAAUUUCUCGUGUCAACAUAGAACAACAGGAGUGUUGUGUCAAUUUUUGUGAUUUUUUGGUGUUUGUUUGGACAUUUUUAUGCAUUAACUGAGUUUUCUGUGCAUUCAUGUGCAUAAUUCAAAUUUGAACUACAUGCACAUGCUCCAGUGCAUAUAAAUCGGUUGAAGAAUCAAAUCUGUGUCCUUGGGUGCAUGCUUAGGUCCCAUGCAAGAAAUGGGAAUGAAUUUCAAACACCAGGGCACCGUUGAUUGCCGGCAAAACAUUGAGAUGCCUGGUUUUUAAAUUCUAGUAAAUCCAAAACUCGUCUAAAAUUCAUGAAACUUGGCAUGCUAUCAUGGAGCGGCACCAACAUGCCGUGGUAAAUUUUUUGUCCCAUUUGGGGCAGGUUUGGGUAGAUGCUUCUCACAAACCAGAGCUUCUCACAACAAGCAUGAUGGUUUCGGUAGGGAACGUCCCACCUUUGGGGACGAAACGAUAUCCAUUGCCUCUUAUUGCUUUCAAAUUUUUUUCUCGUGUCAACAUAGAACAACAGGAGUGUUGUGUCAAUUUUUGUGAUUUUUCGGGGUUCUUUUGGACAUUUUUAUGCAUUAACUGAGUUUUCAAUGCAUUUUAUGUGCAUAAUUGAAAUUUGAACUACAAACACAUGCUCCAGUGCAUAUAAAUUGGUUGACAAAUCAAAUCUGUGUCCUUGGGUGCAUGCUUAGGUUCCAUGCAAGAAAUGGGAAUGAAUUUCAAACACGAGGGCACCGUUGAUUACUGGCAAAACGUUGAGAUACUUUAUUUUUAAAUUCUAGUAAAUCUAAAACUCGUCUGAAAUUCAUGAAACUUGGAAUGCUAUCAUGGAAUGGCACCCGACAUGCUGUGGUAUUUUUCGUGUCCAUUUUGAGAGAAGGCGCACUCGAAUAAUGACAGCCAACAAAGGCAUUUUGCAAAAAUAGCUGCCACUUUAAUAUCUCAAACGUUUGUAUAAUUCAAACCGUGUGUGUUCUGUUAACCAUUCAAGUGACGCCACGUGUCUUGGUUUUAAUGGUUGUAGGAGGUGCCAUGCGGACAGCUGCUUGACCUUGACUGAACGGGAGGCGUGCGAGCGCAGUCCGGUGCGCAGGCUGACCGAGAGGCGUGCAAGCUAUCCUCGAAUGCGCAGGCUCACCGGGAAGCGUGCGAGCUGUAUGCUGCACAGGCUCACUGGGAAGCGAGCCCUUUGACUUCCAUGGCCGCCCGCCUUCCUCUCCAUGCGCGCGCCCCCUCAGUGGCAUGGGACGCCCCCAUCGAACACUUUCUCUCAGCGCCGCCUGCUGCCGUCCUCCCACCCCCCGCCCGUCGACCCGGGACAACAUGAUGCAAAGUGAGAGCAGGAUUUGUGCAUCUCUUCAACGCAAACGAUUCUUUUGGAUGACCCGUGUGGAACCACUUACAAACAAUUUGGAUUGAUUUGCAUCUGUCAUAUUGGGUAUGUUACCAUUUUCAAACUGGAAAGAUUGACAUUUGUUGAUAUAGUAACAUUGCCAUUUGUCAACCUUGUAACACUAUGAUUUGUCAAAAUGUGAAGCUAAAAAUCACUAGUAGUAUUUAAUUUUUGCAACUAAAAUUCAGUAAUUAAGCAUAGAUUUCAUUCAUAGAUUAAGCAGUCGUUCUUAAUUUAUACAAACAUUUCAACUCGACAGCUGAACCGACCAAACUUUUCCCCAAUUGUUGCCAACCACGUACUGAAAUAGCUACUUCAACUAUAUAUACUAGCUAUUUUAAGUAUGUUGUACAGUUCCACCACAUCUAUAGUCAGAUGAACUGAACAAAAUAGCCCCUAAAUACAACUACUACUACUGCGGAGGGGCUUUGUACUACUUCCAGCUGCCUCUCCUCUGCCGAGCGCGCUCAGUAAGAGGCGGAGGAGGAGGAGCCUACCGACGAGUUGGGCAACCGCAAUACGGUGUCUGCCGUUGUUGUAGCUUCAGCGACGCUCACCUCGAACGCCCUCUACCGCUCCAGACGACCCCUCUUGAAGCGGUGGUUCUCCUCGUAGAUCUCCUGAUUCCUCGCCUCUGAGGUGGCAUGUGCCACAGCCACGGUGGUGGUAAGGCUCUUUGCGUGCUCGAAGAGGCGCUCCUCCUCCUCUCGCAGGAACUCGGUGUAGCGCGCAAGGUCACUGACGCACGUGCGGGCAUCCACCUCCGCCUCCCGCCUUCGGGCAACGGUGGCAGAGCGGGUGAUGACCCCGACGGUCGACGGUGGGCUGGCGGCCACGGCGGCCGACGACGGGGUGGCAGCCACGACCACCACCUCCCGCCUUCGGGCCGCGGUGGCGGAGCGGGUGAUGGCCACGGUGGCCGGCAGUGGGGUGGUGGCCACGACGGCCACCUCCCGCCUUCAGGCCGCGGCAGCGGAGCGGGCGAUGGCCCUGGCUUUCGACGGUGGUGUUGCGGCAACGGUGGCCGGCAACAGCUGCCAACGGGCACCGGCGGCGGAGCGUGUGCUGGGUGUUCCGCGCACACCCAACAAGGAUGCCACGCGCCACUAUGCCGGGGACUGCGUCGCCGCCGCGAUGGAGCCUCCCAGCUGGAGCUGUCCUCUGAUGACGGCGGAGUGGCUGAGCGACGACGACGGACCGGUGCCAUUGGCGAUUGUGGGAGAAGAAGACGAGAUAAGCUACAGGGAGGGAGGGUAAAAUACGACGCAGGACUCGCCGGCCGUGGGGGUUUUUAUAGCAGGCCGGUAAGCAUUGGGAUUUUGGGGGAUUUUACCGAGUCGGGCGGGAAGCUUGCGCGGGAAUCUACAAGGUUGCGCGGGAACGGGCUCACCGACGAUUCAUUGGCGCCACCGUUUGGCCAAAAGAACGCCCCCGCGCGCUGCGCAAGCUUGCGCUGUAAGCCUACGGCAGCGGGGUGACAAGACGUGCGAGAGGAGGACGAAAGGCCACGUACACAUACGGUUAAUAAAAAACGUUUGCGAUUUAAUUACCUACUAUACCCCGUCCUGGUUUAUAAGUAUGAUUUAACUAAUAAAAUACGAAUGCAUGUCGCCAAAGAUUAUAUAGUUGGAUUCGUAUUUGAACAUAGUUUCCAAUUAUAUAAUUUUUAUAACAUGCAUUAACAUUUUGUUGGUUAAAUUUGAGGGCAAAGUAUGGCAGAGAAUAUAAAGGGGACUAUAGACUAGACGGAGGUGGUAGCACACUGCCGCUCUCUACGCAGCGGCGCAACUGUAGGCCGGCUUGUAGGCGACCAUUUCCUGCGUGUUCAACUGCUCUAUGCGUGUGGUUGCUUGCGGUUCAGACGGCCGCGGCGCGAUCUGCUCGCGCCCUGCCGCGCGCGCUCUGCUCUCGCGUCCCUCCGGGUGCUCUGCCCUCGUGCCUCCACGCGCGCUGCCAGUGUUUGGGCCGGCGCACGAUCACACACGUUCGUGUGCAUGCGGUUGCGCCGGGCGCGGCACGACGAUGCAGUUACCCGCUGCAAAAACUGCCAUGCGGACGCGCCGAGAAUCCACGCCACCCGUCCCCCUUUUAUUCCUGCGGCCAUUUACCUUCAUCUCUCGUCUCACACGACACAAUAAGCACACCCACGAGGACACAUACAGAGAGGACAUCCAGCGGUUCCAAUGGCGCUCCCCGUGGCUCCAAUGGCGCUCCCAGCGGCCAACGACGACAACGGCGGGCAGUUCACCACGCAACACGUCGUGGACACCCACAUGAGGGGGAAGGCUCUCUCGGUGGUGUACACGAACGAUUCGGUCUCGGUAGAGAGCUCCAUCCAAACUAUGGAGCAGUUCCUUGCCGAGGACAAGUACCAAGUGGUCGGCUUCAACCUCGAGUACACCAUGGGUCGUGCCGGGCACGAUCAGAAGGUUGUCGUCGCCCAGUUGUGCGUGCGACAUGACGUCCUCGUCUACCAGUACUACCUGGCCACAACGCCUUGCAAGCAUUUCUCCAGGUUUAUCCACAGCUCCGACUACAGUUUCGCUGCGGUGGACACCACCAACGAUCUAAAAGCGCUCAAGGUUUCGGGCUUGAAAUGCCCGAAUCUUGUCAACAUCCAGCGCGAUUACAAGGUCUGGGGCAGCGACAAAAACAAACUGAACUCCCUGGUUGACCUCGCCUCGCCAUCAUCGACCCCUACUACAUGAAGAUGAAGAAUGAGAGCAAUAAGGAGAGGAACGCCUGGCACAGUGUGUGGCAUGAGAGACUAGAUGAACAACAUGUCAAGUACGCGGCCAUGGACGCGUACACAAGCUACGAGAUGUACAUGCGGAUCGUUGACAUGAGGAACUGUCUUCUUCCUGACCUAGACAAGGGAUCGAGCCACAUAGCAGUGGCAGGAGCGUCACAAGAAGUAGAUGACUAGACAAUCAUUUAUCCUACUUUAGAAUGCAUGCAAUUGUUUAUUGAGGUGUGUGCGAAUGAUCUGUAUAGUCACUUAUGUAAUUGGAUGUUUAUUUCAGUUAUAUAUAUAUAUGUUAUUCUACUGUAGACAGAGCAAAUCACACCGUUUUUUUGCAGCAAUCGUCUGUGUUAUUAUUGGUCUUCGCACACAUUUCUGAUUACGGGCCUGUUUGCCGUGUAUCACACACAUCUUGUUCAGUUGAACCGUUUCCAUUGUGUUGCCUAAUCACACACAGUUCAUCCUAGUGAACCAUAUGCUAUAUAUCACACACACCUUCAUCUGGAUGCCGUUUCUUUUGUUCCUCAUCAUCCCAAACAGUUAAUUGAACUGAAUCGUAUGCCCUGCAUCGCACACGCAACUACAUUCUGAACCGUGUUUGAUGCAUCUGUCAUCGCAAACGUUUUGCACCUUUUUUGACGUUUUUUUACAUCACCGUUUGCGAUCAUGGCAUCGCUCACAGUUUCGUCGAAGGGUCUCUGAUCGUAGUGUCGCGUUUGGACCAUCCUGCAGUAGUGUCAUGUAAUACUUGCUUAGAUGUAGGCACAUGUCUAGGGGGAGCUAGCUCAACUCAUGAGUUAUCUUAUCCUAGAAGUGCAUAAAUUGAACAAAAUCUUUCACAUUGGCCACUUGUAGGUGGCACUUGUCCUUCAAAGAUGAGUACUGGUCUUCGGCCCAAGGUUCAUAUCUUCGCGGUGCCUGAUACGUCUCCAACGUAUCUAUAAUUUUUUAUUGUUCCAUACUAUAUUAUAUUCUGUUUUGGACAUUAUUGGGCUUUAUUAUACACUUUUAUAUUAUUUUUGGGACUAACCUAUUAACCGGAGGCCCAGCCCAGAAUUGCUGUUUUUGCCUAUUUCGGAGUUUCGCGGAAAAAGUAUAUCAAACGGAGUCCAAACGGAAUGAAACCUUCGGGAACGUGAUUUUCGGAACGAACGUGAUCCAGAGGACUUGGACCCUACGUCAAGACUGCAACCAGGAGGCCACGAGGUAGGGGGGCGCGCCUACCCUUCCCCCCCCCAGGCGCGCCCUCCACCCUCGUGGGCCCCCUGUUGUUCCACCGACGUACUCCUUCCUCCUAUAUAUACCUACGUACCCCCAAACUGCCAGAUACAGAGCCAAAAACCUAAUUCCACCGCCGCAACCUUCUGUACCCGUGAGAUCCCAUCUUGGGGCCUGUUCCGGAGCUCCGCCGGAGGGGGCAUCGAUCACGGAGGGCUUCUACAUCAACACCAUAGCCUCUCCGAUGAUGUGUGAGUAGUUUACCUCAGACCUUCGGGUCCAUAGUUAUUAGCUAGAUGGCUUCUUCUCUCUUUUUGGAUCUCAAUACAAUGUUCUCCCCCUCUCUCGUGGAGAUCUAUUCGAUGUAAUCUUCUUUUGCGGUGUGUUUGUUGAGACCGAUGAAUUGUGGGUUUAUGAUCAAGUUUAUCUAUGAACAAUAUUUGAAUCUUCUGAAUUCUUUUAUGUAUGAUUGGUUAUCUUUGCAAGUCUCUUCGAAUUAUCAGUUUGGUUUGGCCUACUAGAUUGAUAUUUCUUGCAAUGGGAGAAGUGCUUAACUUUGGGUUCAAUCUUGCGGUGUCCUUUCCGAGUGACAGUAGGGGCAGAAAGGCAUGUAUUGUAUUGUUGCCAUCGAGGAUAAUAAGAUGGGGUUUAUAUCAUAUUGCAUGAAUUUAUCCCUCUACAUCAUGUCAUCUUGCUUAAAAUGUUACUCUGUUCUUAUGAACUUAAUACUCUAGAUGAAUGCUGGAUAGCGGUCGAUGUGUGGAGUAAUAGUAGUAGAUGCAGGCAGGACUCGGUCUACUUGUCUCGGACGUGAUGCCUAUAUACAUGAUCAUACCUAGAUAUUCUCAUGACUAUGCUCAAUUAUGUCAAUUGCUCAACAGUAAUUUGUUCACCCACCAUAAAUACUUAUGCUCUUGAGAGAAGCCACUAGUGAAACCUAUGGCCCCCGGGUCUAUUUUCCAUCAUAUUAAUCUUCCAACACUUAGCUAUUUCCGUUGCCUUUUUAUUUUGUUUACUUUUACUUUGCAUCUUUAUCAUAAAAAUACCAAAAAUAUUAUCCUAUCAUAUCUAUCAGAUCUCACUCUCGUAAGUGACCGUGAAGGGAUUGACAACCCCUUAUCACGUUGGUUGCGAGGAUUUAUUUGUUUGUGUAGGUGCGAGGGACUCAUGCGUGGCCUCCUACUGGAUUGAUACCUUGGUUCUCAAAAACCGAGGGAAAUACUUACGCUACUUUGCUGCAUCACCCUUUCCUCUUCAAGGGAAAACCAACGCAGUGCUCACGAGGUAGCAAGAAGGAUUUCUGGCGCCGUUGCCGGGGAGGCUUACGCAAGGUCAAGUCAAGAUUUGGACUCCCGACAACGAGCCAUUUCUGGCGCCGUUGCCGGGGAGUCUACGCAAAAGUCAACAUACCAAGUACCCAUCACAAACCCUUAUCUCCCGCAUUACAUUAUUUGCCAUUUGCCUCUCGUUUUCCUCUCCCCCACUUCACCCUUGCCGUUUUAUUCGCCCUCUCUUUUUGUUCGCUUCUUUUUCGCUUGCCUUGUCGUUAUGGCUAGCUCGGUCUUUAUCCCUUCAUCUCCUGACUUUGAAGUCCUCCACUUCAAGCAAAGACAAGGGGAAAAUUUAAAAGAUGCUUGGUUUAGGAUGCUUGAAUCAUAUCAUAACUGCAAUAUAGAGGGAGAUUUCAAAAUUUUGCUUCGCAAUUUUUAUGUUGGGUUAACCUUGCCCCAUAAACAACUCCUCGAUUUUUCCGCCAAAGGCAAUUUUAUCGAUAUUGAUCCUAGCUUCGCUUAUGAGAUCAUAGAGGGGAUAGUGGGAGUUCUCACCCUACAAAAAGUAUCAUCCUUUACCCAAGAAGAGACUCAAAUCCUAGAGAAAUUAUGUGAGUUACAAAAAAUUGUUGAACCUCUUAAAAGUAUUGGUGGGAAUAUCAACUGCAUGAAUAAUCUGAUUACACUUUGCAAUAAGCGGCUGGAUACUUUAGAUCAAAAGAUCACCGAGCAUAACUCCAUCAAUAAAUUGCCUACCAAAGAUGGCAAUACCUAGAUCUAUCCUUGCUUUUAUGCCUAGCUAGGGGCGUUAAACGAUAGCGCUUGUUGGGAGGCAACCCAAUUUUAUUUUUAGUUUUUUGCUUUUUACUUCUGUUUAGGAAUAAAUCUUUGAUCUAGCCUCUGGUUAGAUGUGUUUUAUGUCUUAAUUAGUGUUUGUGCCAAGUUUAACCUAUAGGAUCUUCUUGGAUGAUAGUUAUUUGAUCUUGCAGAAAUUUCCUGAAACUUUCUGUUCAUGAAAAUAAUUGUUAAAAAUCACCAGAACGUGAUAAAAUAUUGAUUAUAAUUGCUUCUGAUCACUAAACAAAUUGUCUAGGUCGUCCUAUUUUGGCUGAAUUUUUGGAGUUCCAGAAGUUUGCGUUAGUUACAGAUUACUACAGACUGUUCUGUUUUUGACAGAUUCUGUUUUUCGUGUGUUGUUUGCUUAUUUUGAUGAAUCUAUGGCUAGUAAAAUAGCUUAUAAACCAUAGAGAAGUUGGAAUACAGUAGGUUUAACACCAAUAUAAAUAAAUAAUGAGUUCAUUUCAGUACCUUGAAGUGGUCUUUUAUUUUCUUUCGCUAACGGAGCUUACGAGAUUUUCUGCUGAGUUUUGUGUUGUGAAGUUUUCAAGUUUUGGGUGAAAGAUUUGAUGGAUUAUGGAACAAGGAGUGGCAAGAGCCUAAGCUUGGGGAUGCCCAUAACACCCCAAGAUAAUCUAAGGACACCUAAAAGCCAAAGCUUGGGGAUGCCCCGGAAGGCAUCCCCUCUUUCAUCUACUUCCAUCGGUAACUUUACUUGGAGCUAUAUUUUUAUUCACCACAUGAUAUGUGUUUUGCUUGGAGCGUCUUGUAUUAUUUGAGUCUUUAUUUGUUAUUUUACCACAAUCAUUCUUGCUGUACACACCUUUUGAGAGAGUCACACUUGAUUCGGAAUUUAUUAGAAUACUCUAUGUGCUUCACUUAUAUUUUUUGAGCUAUAUAGUUUUGCUCUAAUGCUUCACUUAUAUCUUUUAGAGCACGGUGGUGGAUUUGUUUUAUAGAAAAUAUUGAUCUCUCAUGCUUCACUUAUAUCUUUUAGAGCACGGUGGUGGAUUUGUUUUAUAGAAAAUAUUGAUCUCUCAUGCUUCACUUAUAUUAUUUUGAGAGUCUUAAAAUAUCAUGGCAAUUUGCUUUAAAUAAUAUCAUGAGAAAUUUGAUGCUUGAUAAUUGUUUUGAGAUAUAAAGGUGGUAAUAUCAUAGUUGUGCUAGUUGAGUAAUUGUGGAAUUGAAAAAUACAUGUGUUGGAGUUUGUGAUUCCCGUAGCAUGCACGUAUGGUGAACCGUUAUGUAACGAAGUCGGAGCAUGAAGUAUUUGUUGAUUGUCUUCCUUUGUGUGGCGGUCGGGAUCGCGCGAUGGUUAACUCCUACCAACCCUUCCCCUAGGAGCAUGCGUAGUAGUACUUUGCUUCAAGGGCUAAUAAAUUUUUGCAAUAAGUAUAUGAGUUAUUUAUGACUAAUUUGAGUCCAUGGAUUACACGCACACUUACCUUUCCGCAAUUUUCUAGCCUCUUCGGUACUGCGCAUUGCCCUUUCUCACCUUGAGAGUUGGUGCAAACUUCGCCGGUGUAUCAAAUGCCUGAGGUCUUCGGGAGCAAGCAAGUUGGAUGCACACCCACUUAGUUUCUUUUUGAGCUUUCAUACACUUAUAGCUCUAGUGCAUCCGUUGCAUGGCAAUCCCUACUCCUCGCAUUAACAUCAAUCGAUGGGCAUCUCCAUAGCCCAUUAAUUAGCCUCGUUGAUGUGAGACUUUCUCCUUUUUUGUCUUCCCACACAACCCCUACCAUUAUACCUUAUUCCACCAUAGUGCUAUAUCCAUGGCUUGCGCUCAUGUAUUGCGUAAGAGUUGAAAAGGCUGAAGCGCGUUAAAAGUAUGAACCAAUUGCUUGGCCAAAACCAGGGUCGUACAUGAUAUGAAUAUUUUGUGUGGGGAAGAUGGAGCAUAGCCAGACUAUAUGAGUUUGUAGGGAUAACUUGCUUUGGCUAUGUUAUUUUGAUAAGACAUAAUUGCUUAGUUAGUAUGCUUGAAGUAUUAUUGUUUUUAUGUCACAUUAAACUUUUAUCUUGAAUCAUAUCAAAUCUGAACAUUCAUGCCAUAAUAAGAAGAAUUAUAUUGACAUUAUGCCAAGUAGCAUUCCACAUCAAAAAUUCUGUUUUUAUGAUUUACCUACUCGAGG
Molecule: long non-coding RNA, 36041 nt
Filed under: Triticum aestivum (bread wheat)
Lineage: Eukaryota; Viridiplantae; Streptophyta; Magnoliopsida; Poales; Poaceae
Description: long non-coding RNA (TAES_LNC013515)
Source: RNAcentral